RNAcentral lists this ribosomal RNA (483 nucleotides) under uncultured bacterium. Its description in RNAcentral is "partial 16S ribosomal RNA". It matches the Rfam family "Bacterial small subunit ribosomal RNA", at positions 30 to 507 of the family's 1533-position model. The record is from RNAcentral.
UUGAACGCUGGCGGCAGGCCUAACACAUGCAAGUCGAGCGGAUGAAGGGAGCUUGCUCCUGGAUUCAGCGGCGGACGGGUGAGUAAUGCCUAGGAAUCUGCCUGGUAGUGGGGGAUAACGUCCGGAAACGGGCGCUAAUACCGCAUACGUCCUGAGGGAGAAAGUGGGGGAUCUUCGGACCUCACGCUAUCAGAUGAGCCUAGGUCGGAUUAGCUAGUUGGUGGGGUAAAGGCCUACCAAGGCGACGAUCCGUAACUGGUCUGAGAGGAUGAUCAGUCACACUGGAACUGAGACACGGUCCAGACUCCUACGGGAGGCAGCAGUGGGGAAUAUUGGACAAAGGGCGAAAGCCUGAUCCAGCCAUGCCGCGUGUGUGAAGAAGGUCUUCGGAUUGUAAAGCACUUUAAGUUGGGAGGAAGGGCAGUAAGCUAAUACCUUGCUGUUUUGACGUUACCAACAGAAUAAGCACCGGCUAACUUCGUG